AAAAAUUGUUAACAAAUCGUAUAUUGGUAAAAUAGCUGCUCGUGCUUUACUGUAGCUAGGUAGCUAGAUACCUACGAUAAGUGGUCGAAUCAUAACAGUGCAGAAGGAUGUUUUUAGUAUAUAUUUUCGCUUCUAGCCGCGCAAUCAAUGCCUUUCUUUCCAAGCAAGAUGUACUUCUGUUUGGCUCUCAUCGGCGGGGAAAAGAGUAUACUAUCAGCUUACGGCGUGAGUGACAAGAAAUAACGCUGAUUGUGGCUUCACUGCUUUCGAUCAGGGAGGAGGAGAAUACUGUGCAUAUACCGGGAAGGAGAUUAUCAGAUCCAGAAGAUCCGGAAAGGAAUGUUACAAGUAAUUUGUUUUGCAUAAAGGCUAGAGCAAAAGGAGGUUGACAAUGAUUGCAACAGGAAAGUCACCAGUUGCGUUGGAUGUUCUAAUCAAGGGAAAUCCCAAGCACCGAAUUUUUGUUUUAUGUUUUGGCAAUUUUUGGCACCGUGGCAAUACUGCUGAUAUUUGAGAUAAAAAUUAGAUUAGGAGAGUGCACUAUUUUUCACGAAUAUAUAUUUGUUUAAUUUUU
Long non-coding RNA from Toxorhynchites rutilus septentrionalis, 574 nucleotides. RefSeq lists it as uncharacterized. Lineage: Eukaryota; Metazoa; Arthropoda; Insecta; Diptera; Culicidae. The transcript has 3 exons. The record is from RefSeq and is a predicted model, not a curated record.